RNAcentral lists this long non-coding RNA (3864 nucleotides) under Sus scrofa (pig). Its description in RNAcentral is "lncRNA (ENSSSCG00025015161.1)". The record is from RNAcentral. Lineage: Eukaryota; Metazoa; Chordata; Mammalia; Artiodactyla; Suidae.
AGUACUUCCUCAGUUACAUUAGCUGCAUUUCCAAUUUUAUUUUUAUUAUUUGUUAUUAUUAUUAUUAUUUUUGGCUGUGCACGUGGCAUGCAGAAGUUCCCAGGCCAGGGAUCGAAUUCACACCACAGCAGUGACAAUGCCAGAUGCUUAACUGCUAGGCCACCAGGGAAUUCCUAUAAUUUGGUAUUCUCUUCCUCAAAGAGACCCUCAAUAUUUUAUUAACUUCAGAGUCUAUAAAACUGGUUGGAAAGACCAUAUCUUGUGCCUCUUUGAAUCCUUUUAAACUUGGUUUAGUAAUGCUGAUCAUCAUAAUGAUGAUGAUUCUGAGACUUACAGAGCAUUUACAAGGCAUUCUCAGUCAUCUCAUUGGAUCCUUACAAACUAAAAGUUAGGCAUGGCCAUUGCCACUUUUACAGAUGACAAAACUGACUGCAGAGACACAAAGUGAUUUUUGCCUAAGGCCACCUAGCUAGUAAGUGACGGAGCCAGAGCUGAAGCUCAAGACUAUGGAUUCCAGAUGUCAUGCUUCCUCCUCUUAGGUUUUUGCUGCCUGUGGGUUCUGAAAGCCUUUCCAGCACUUACGGGAGGAUGCUCCUCCCCACCCCACCCCAUGCAGACCCAUUCGAAGAGCACUCCAUCUCCAUCCAACAAUUAUCUAAGUUGAAGUCGUCCAUCCUGCAUUUUUAAGUUAUUUUCCAGAUAAUGAACAUUUUUAACCAAUACAGGGUGCCCGAUACUAAUCACACAGAGCAAUCCGUAGGUGUAGGAAUUGCAUUUACCUUCCAAGCCCUAAUUGUGUUCAUUUCUUUGGGAGAACUUCUUCAACUGCCUGUCUUCAAGAGACUCUUAAAGCUCCCAAGAAAUUGCUAAGUGAUACUAGGAAUACACUUGCCUGAAUCUAGAGAUUUUGGGUAAGUAGCCUCUAAUUUAUCAUUUUACAUUACAGAAAGCCUGGAGAAUUAUAUAAAAGCCUUUGGCUUUUGCAUCUGUAUGUAAAAAUAUUCCCAAACUAGAGGAGCCCUCGAUCAUUAAUGAUGUCUAAACACUGACCCUGGAGAAAUCACUGUGUGUCUAGUCAUUCCCAAGGACAUGCCAGCUGUAAAAGCCAUGCAAGGAAGUACCUCCACCAGCAGGCCCUUGUCUUCUUUCCCAGACUUAAGCUGUCAGUGGAAAAGAGGUAAACAGAGACAGAAGUUGAGAACUCAGUCUCUGGAGUCGGGCCAGGCUGGGUGUGACCCUAGCUCCACCCCUUACCAGCUGUGGGGCUUAUGCAUAUCGCUUAACUUCAUUCAUCGAUUCCACAAAUAGUUGCUCAGUGAGCACCUACUAAAUGCCAGCUGACCAUUGUAGGUACUGAGACAAAGGAGUGAAAAAACAAAACUAUUGGAGUUCCUGAUGUGGCACAAAGGAACAUCAGUGGUGUCUUGAGAGUGCUGUGACUCAGGUUUAAUUCCAGAUAGGCACAGUGGGUUAAGAAUCAGGCAUUGCUGCAGCUCAAUAUUUAGCCUCGAUUUUAGAUUUUAAAAACAUUUGGUAUUGCUUGUUUAUAUUUUGAGCCACUCCAAAACCCUGCUUUUUAGAAAAUUCUUGAGGGAUUUCCCUCAGUGGGGCAUGUAUGAGAAACAGUCUCUGGAGCUUUGGGCCACAUGGACGGGAACUGUGAGGGCAACGGGAGAGUUACGUCCACUUGGUGAACACAGCCAUGGUCAUGAUCAGAACUUGCUCAGGUGGCCUUUGCACAGAUAUUCAUAGAAGAGCUUCCUUUUCGGUUUUAUUCUGAAGGGAUUCUGCUGAUACUAUUUUUACCACUGGAAUUUCUGUCUGCCCAGAACACAAUUUUGAAGUUUCAAAUGAAACAUUUACCUGAAUCCCUGACAUUACAGCUCACAUUCAUUUCCUUUCCUCUUGCCCUCCAGGUCUCAGCAGUGAGAUGGCCCAACCAAGAAAGAGAUCCCCCCCCACUCCUGCUCAGAUCUGAUACCUGGGCUUUUCCUUGGGCCUCUCUGGGAUGUACCAAAACCCAAAGCCCAUGUACUGGCCAACCCUCCUUGGUACAGACACCAGGUCCAGAAUCACUCUGUCUUUGACAGUCAAGUGCACUGUCCUUUUCUCCUGCUCCUAAAGGAUCACACUAUCCUUCCUUGGUCUUUUUGUCAUUGAGAAUCCAUUUCCCAUUGGGAUCUGGAGUUCACUUCCUUGCUUCAAAUUUUUGAGAUGGGUUGAAACAAUAAGUAAGGUCAAAUUGUAUGAAAUUGCCAAAUAUCAGCUAUUUUUUUUUUUUUUUAACCUAAAGGAAGGAAGGAGGGGAGGAAGAAAAGCUUAAAGAAGCCAGGGCUGGAAAUAGGUAACUACUCAUCUAUUCUGCUCUUUAAUGAUAAUUGUAGUUGAUGGAAUGUUUCCUCUUUAUGAAGUACUGGGCCAAGCAAAAUUUUACAUACAUCAUCUCAGUCAUUGUAGCAAGUGCAUGAAGUCCAGCUCCCUCUAUCAUCUCAUUCAAUUUCCAGUUUAAGGAUGCAAAACUGAGGGUCAGAGUUGUCAAGAGUCUUUCCCAAGGUCCUUCAACUCUAACCAGAGAAGCCAAGAGCUAUAUGCUAUAUCUUCUAUGUGACAAGGAUGGAUUACAAAUCAUUAAUCUCAAUAACUUCCACUACCUUCUUGUAAUCACCUAUGUUGUCAUUAUUAUAAGAGUAAUAGUGUUCAAUAUAGGAAAUCUGAAAAUUGUAUAACAUAUGACAGAAAAAAAUUAAAAAUGCAUAAAUCAAAGAUAAGUUCUACUAAUAUUCUGGAGUCUCUCUCAUUCUGUUUUUCUGAUUUAUUCUGCUUUUUAACAAAUUUGGAAUUGUCCUGUUUAUAUUGCUUUGUACCCUGCCUUAAAAAAAUAAAUACUAUGUCAUGAGUAUUAUUCCAAAUCAUUAAAAAUUCUCCAAAAAAGUGUUUGGUCGCAUUAUAUUGAUAUAUAAGUACUAUAACAUUAAUUGUUCAAUUGUUUUCUUCUUGUUGGAAAAGAAGUUCAUGUAUUUUGCUGUUAUAUGAUAAAGAUCCUUGAACAAAAGUCUCUGUUUUUAGUCCCCAGUGGCAGCCAAGUUUGUCCUAGAGAUGAUCUCCUUCUGACAAAUGUCAUCAGUUACAUUUUCUGGUUGUUUAGUCACAAUGGAGUUGAUACAGCACACCUGCUGGGAGCUGACAUAGCUGUGCCUGUGGUGUGAGGGCCAGGCUAAAGGCCAACAACGGGCAGAGUGGCUGGACCUGCAGCCACUGCCCACUCGGUGCUGCUCUGGGCUCAGCCUGGUGAGGACUUCCUGGGGGAAGUGGGAGGAGCAGAGUGGCGGAAGCAGGGAGAGCGCAAGUGUGGCUACUGUCCUGCACCCCUGAGAGCUCACCAGCGGCACAGAGCAGCUCACCUUGGUCCAGCCUUGGCACGUAGGGUGGCACCUAUCAUGUGGCUUGGGACACUGCACGUGUCCUCAGGCCUUCCUUCUGCAGCACACUUUCUAACCACCACAAACAAAACAGAGGACAGUGAGCAAAACACUUCCUUUUAGUUCCUCUUACCUUCCUUCAAUCCCCAAACCUACUUGUAAGUGGUCAAACUCACUUUCCCCACUCAGAGAAGAAAGGAGGGGGCUGACUUCUUUCACUGGGGACAGGGAGAAGAAAGGAAAGGGAAGAAGGCAGAAACAUAGCCAUUAGACUACAUUACCAGUUUCAUCUCUGGCUUCAUGCUUUCUUUCCUAAAGACUCACAUUUUGUAAUAUUUUAAAGCACUUAACUCAGUAAGAUUUAUUGAAUGUGUACUAUAUGCAAAGCACUGUGUUUAAGGCAGUGGAGAAUGGAAAUGGCCAAGGCCUAUCUUAAAAAAAAAAA